CCUGUUUCCGUCACUCGCUUGCAACUUUAAACAGACCCUGCGCCGAACCCCAACUCGGUCAUCGCACUUAAUACGAAGCCUCGCUCCCGGUUUACUUGAGGUUGCGACGGAAGCUCUUGUACCGACAAGGAGUCGUCACCACCAGAACUGAUUUCCGUGAAGAUGGAAUGAGAGCACGAAAUAAUGCAACUGGGUCAGAUGGCACAUCAUCAGAACCGAUACUUCAUUGUCGGAGAAGCAACUGAAGCAAAUUGCCUCCCACUCAUCCAUUCUCACUCGCCGAUUAUAGAGGAAGAAGAAGAGGAUUUAUUAGUGGUUACAACUUGUGGCAGUUUGUGGCCACUAAAUAAAUAUUAAGUGGCGACGCUCUCAACAAAAGCAACCGAACCCUUCAGUGCCUUGCAGGCAAAUCAAUGAGCUGUAAUGAUCAUUGAUCAGCAGAUGAACCAAUCACCCAUAUGUAACAGCACAUCAAAGAAGAUGGCACGGUUGCUCUCCAGGAAUUGUUUGAAAUGCUUGAAAAGCAACAGUGAUGGAAAAGGACACCUCACCUCUUAGCAAGGAAUGAAGAUCCCAUCAAUAUUUAUCAUGUCCAAUCAGGAUCGCUCAUCACACCAAGAUGGGUGAAAGAAAAGACCUGGUGUACCUGCGCUCUCUAUUUUAGAUUAGCCUCCCCUAGCCAUUUUAAUUUAUUUUUUCAUUUUAUAUUGUCUCAAAACCUCGGUACUUAGCACUCCCUAGAAAGCUAUGUGAGAAUUGUAUGAAAAUUCUUCAAAUAUGUAAUGCAUAGAAGUACUAAGUAAAAAAUAAAUUUAAUGUGGUAUAAA
Molecule: long non-coding RNA, 827 nt
Organism: Ornithorhynchus anatinus (platypus)
Lineage: Eukaryota; Metazoa; Chordata; Mammalia; Monotremata; Ornithorhynchidae
Exons: 3
Source: RefSeq, a predicted model, not a curated record